Homo sapiens (human) is the source of this 670-nucleotide long non-coding RNA. Ensembl annotates it as SLC44A3 antisense RNA 1. Its record names the gene SLC44A3-AS1. The record is from Ensembl. NCBI's taxonomy places the organism in Eukaryota, Metazoa, Chordata, Mammalia, Primates, Hominidae.
AACCACUCUGGAAUAUGAGAAGUGCUCUGAGCCAGGGAAGAAGUACCUGCUCCUCCUACAAGGCCCAGCAGUAUCAGCGACAGAUUAUGCUUUUGCAAAACUAGGUUUACAAUAUCACGAAUAGUUUGCGGGCGGAGAAUAUUUCCACAGAACAGGAAGGAUGAUUUCUUCAGACAGACAAAGCUUUGCUGGAGCGUUUCUGCCGUCAACAGUCAAGUGGAGGAAAGACAGUGACAGUGGAUAAACUGCAGAAGCUGCUCCAGGAUCUGGGAGCACAGCCUCCUGACCAUGCAGGGAGAGGUGUCAGGAGAGGCCCCGCAAGACACCCAGAGGAGACCCUUCAGUUGUAAAGGCUGAGGAGGAACUUCCAUCUGGGCUUUUCUGAGGAUGAGUGAACUAGCUCAUCUAGCAACCGGGAAUUGGUAAGAACUCACAACAAAUGAACGGGAGGUGAGCUGGGACUCAAUUCUGCCUUAUAGAGUAGCCCCUGUGCAGAACUCAUGGACCCAGGUGAAAACAGCCUCCCUGCUCACAUGGCCUCCCCUCUCCCUAACCUUGCCCCGGCCCUGAAAUCUGGGUGGCAUAAAUGGUGCAGUGUACAAACAAAAAGGGAGCCCUGUGGAGGGUAGACGGAGGAACUGGACCCUCCCCAGCCCCCAGCCCUGCUCCU